Molecule: ribosomal RNA, 990 nt
Filed under: Rhizopus arrhizus
Lineage: Eukaryota; Fungi; Mucoromycota; Mucoromycetes; Mucorales; Rhizopodaceae
Description: LSU rRNA
Rfam family: Eukaryotic large subunit ribosomal RNA
Source: RNAcentral
GCAUAUCAAUAAGCGGAGAAAGGAGAUAAAAUGAUUCCCUAGUAACGGCGAGUGAAGAGGAAAGAGCUCAAAGUUGGAACCUGUUUGGCCUAGCUAAACCGGAUUGUAGACUGUAGAAGUGUUUUCCAGGCAAGCCGAGUAAAUAAGUCCUUUGGAACAGGGCAUCAUAGAGGGUGAGAAUCCCGUCUUUGGCUUGAGCAUUUGCCUUUUGUGAUACGCUUUCAAAGAGUCAGGUUGUUUGGGAAUGCAGCCUAAAUUGGGUGGUAAAUCUCACCUAAAGCUAAAUAUUGGCGAGAAACCGAUAGCGAACAAGUACCGUGAGGGAAAGAUGAAAAGAACUUUGAAAAGAGAGUUAAACAGUAUGUGAAAUUGUUAAAAGGGAACCGUUUGGAGCCAGACUGGCUUGUCUGUAAUCAAUCUAGGCUUCGGCCUGGAUGCACUUGCAGGCUAUGCCUGCCAACGACAAUUUGACUUGAGGGAAAAAACUAAGGGAAAUGUGGCCCACUUGUGGGUGUUAUAGUCCCUUAGAAAAUACCUUGGGUUGGAUUGAGGAACGCAGCGAAUGCUUUUUGGCGAGUUUUCCAGGAAGGUUUUCUGAGGUACUACGGUAUCAAGGUUGAUCUUUUUGGUUAUACUUUCUAUUCGCUUAGGUUGUUGGCUUAAUGACUCUAAAUGACCCGUCUUGAAACACGGACCAAGGAGUCCACCAUUAGUGCGAGUAUUUGGGUGCCAAACCCAUAUGCGUAAGGAAACUGAUUGAUACGAAUCCAUUAAGGAGGCAGUAUCGUCCGGCGCUGACGUUUUAUACUGAAUUGACCGAGACAAAGCACUAAUGAUGGGACCCGAAAGAUGGUGAACUAUGCCUGAAUAGGGUGAAGCCAGAGGAAACUCUGGUGGAGGCUCGUAGCGAUUCUGACGUGCAAAUCGAUCGUCAAAUUUGGGUAUAGGGGCGAAAGGACUAAUCGAGCAUCUAGGUAGCUGGAUCUGCGA